UAACGAAUCUUCCGCAAUGCACGAAAGUGUGACGGAGCGACGCCGCGUGUAGGACGAAGCCCUUCGGGGUGUAAACUACUGUCAGGGGAAAGAAAGUUCUGAUCUACCCCAGAGGAAGAGACGGCUAACUCUGUGCCAGCAGCCGCGGUAAGACAGAGGUCUCGAGCGUUAGGCGGAAUCACUGGGCUUAAAGCGUGUGUAGGCGGAUUUGUAAGUACCUUGUGAAAUCCCACGGCUUAACCGUGGAACUGCUUGGUAUACUGCUUAUCUUGGGCCAUCUAGGGGUUACCGGAACAAACGGUGGAGCGGUGAAAUGCGUAGAUAUCGUUUGGAACGCCAAUGGUGAAAACAGGUAACUGGGGAUGUGCCGACGCUGAGACACGAAAGCCAGGGGAGCGAACGGGAUUAGAUACCCCCGUAGUCC
This 424-nucleotide ribosomal RNA is filed under the name uncultured bacterium. RNAcentral's name for it is "bacterial SSU rRNA". It matches the Rfam family "Bacterial small subunit ribosomal RNA", at positions 355 to 796 of the family's 1533-position model. The record is from RNAcentral.